GCUGGGUGUGGUGGUGCACACCUGUAAUCCCAGCAACUUGGGAGGCUGAGGCAGGAGGAUCACAAGUACAAGGUCUGACUGGGCAACCUAGUAAGAUUCCUGACACAA
This 108-nucleotide small RNA is filed under the name Marmota monax (woodchuck). The record is from RNAcentral. Lineage: Eukaryota; Metazoa; Chordata; Mammalia; Rodentia; Sciuridae.